This 429-nucleotide ribosomal RNA is filed under the name uncultured bacterium. Its description in RNAcentral is "bacterial SSU rRNA". It matches the Rfam family "Bacterial small subunit ribosomal RNA", at positions 355 to 776 of the family's 1533-position model. The record is from RNAcentral.
UGGGGAAUCUUGGACAAUGGGCGCAAGCCUGAUCCAGCAAUGCCGCGUGGGUGAAGACGGCCUGCGGGUUGUAAAGCCCUUUAGGCGGGGAGGAACGACCGGACGAUAAGACCGUCUGGAAGUGACGUUACCCGCGGAAUAAGCACCGGCUAACUCCGUGCCAGCAGCCGCGGUAAUACGGAGGGUGCGAGCGUUAAUCGGAAUUACUGGGCGUAAAGCGUGCGUAGGCGGAGGGGUCAGUCGGCCGUGAAAGCCCCGGGCUCAACCUGGGAACGGCGGUCGAGACGGCCCGUCUCGAGUGGGCUAGAGGAUCGUGGAAUUCCGGGUGUAGCGGUGAAAUGCGUAGAGAUCCGGAGGAACACCGAUGGCGAAGGCAGCGGUCUGGGGCCACACUGACGCUGAGGCACGAAAGCGUGGGGAGCAAACAGG